RNAcentral lists this ribosomal RNA (326 nucleotides) under uncultured bacterium. Its description in RNAcentral is "bacterial SSU rRNA". It matches the Rfam family "Bacterial small subunit ribosomal RNA", at positions 588 to 916 of the family's 1533-position model. The record is from RNAcentral.
UCAGAGGUGAAAUCCUACAGCUCAACUGUAGAACUGCCUUUGAUACUGAUAUUCUUGAGUAUGAAUGAAGUGGGUGGAAUUUGUCAUGUAGCGGUGAAAUGCAUAGAUAUGACAUGGAACACCAAUUGCGAAGGCAGCUCACUAAAUUAUUACUGACGCUCAUGAACGAAAGCGUGGGGAGCGAACAGGAUUAGAUACCCUGGUAGUCCACGCCGUAAACUAUGAUCACUAGAUGUUGGAGAUAUACUGUCAGUGUUUUAGAGAAAUCGUUAAGUGAUCCACCUGGGGAGUACGUUCGCAAGAAUGAAACUCAAAUGAAUUGACGG